AGAACCAGCAAAUACAGCCAGGCAACAACAGGAUAUGGAGGCUGCAGAGACGCAGGAGGAAGGGAGAGGGGCCUUGCCAGGCUGGCUUGUGCCACUGCCUAGCAGAGGCCCUCAUCCCCCCUCCAUGCUGGGGACCACCCAGCCUCCCUGCAUCUUCACAGUCCACUUUCAGGCAGCAGUCUUGGUUAGAAGGCAGGGCUAAUCUGGGACACUUAUUCAUUUAAUUUUAUUACUGUACUGUGGGUACAAGUGUCUGCCAACUCUAAGGCCUUGUCAGUGUUACACCUCUCUAGGCUGGGAGUUACAGCAUAAUGAAACCCAGAGAACUCUGCCCUGUCCCUCACUUAGUAAUGACUGAUCUGAAGGCCUCUGGGCAAGGGUCUCCUGGGACCACCAUGCGUCAGCUGGGCCAAGCACACGACAACCCUGGUGAGGUAGGUGUGGUGGUUUUCCGGGUGGGAAACCAGGGUACUGAGAGGUGAAGGGAGGUGCCCAGCAUGGGGGCGGGGGCAGAUGCUGGCUGGUGGCUGGUCUGGCAGUUCCUGCAUUUUCCACUGUCUGGGGCUCAACCUCUGAUGGUGGUUGUAAUUUUGUUGGGUCCCUUUGCCUGGAGGGACAUUUUCCUGGAAGUCACAGAGCUUACUAGAACUGAAUCCAGGGAUCUGCCUGGUUGGGGUUGUGGCCUGGGGAUGGCUGUCGGCUCUGUAUGUUCCUGGGUUCGCAGAGCUCAUUGCUCCGUCCUAGGACCAGAUGCCCCCAUGCUAGAUCCUAG
This 772-nucleotide long non-coding RNA is filed under the name Marmota monax (woodchuck). The record is from RNAcentral. Lineage: Eukaryota; Metazoa; Chordata; Mammalia; Rodentia; Sciuridae.